GAUAUUUGGUGUUGUGACCUCGCUGCGCUCGUGCCCUCGUGCCCUCGUGUGAAAUGGCCGUCCCCGUGGCUGCUAUGGAGCGUUUCACACCGGAAACGAAGAGGUUUCAAGACGAGGGCAGUGCACACCCUCUCUUUCACUCUGGCCCGCGCAAAAGUGUGCUGGACUCGCCUAUGCAGCCUGUCCCUCCUCUCACCCUCUCUAACGCCAUCAUGUUCAGCUAUGCCUGCAGCAGGAAAAGCGAGGAUGACGAGAGCAGAGGCACCAUGUGGGGCGUCGAGGACAGCUGCAACAGCAGCGCCGUCAUGAGGGUCAGCUGCAUUCGUGGCGUGCACAAGGCUUCUGAAGAAAGGGAGGUGCUGUUUCCGCCUACUGAGGGUGCAAGCGCUGGCCCGCCAUCCCCCCCAGACAGCACGUUGCCCUUCCUGCAGAGCGCCGCCCUCGCCGCGACCUACAUGUUAACGAGCAUGUUCUUCGUCCUUACGAUCCGCUACACGGAGAACCACCACCAAAACUGUAACGACGCCCUCAUCAUCUUCGCCAUCGAGCUGGCAAAACUGGCGGUGUCAGUGGCCCUCAAGUACCGCGAGGACGCCGAGUUUCUGCCGGUUACGCUGCUCUUUACCGCGCAGCGGCGCGAGAUCUGGCGCGGCGGCCUCUCCUACGCUGUUGCAUCACUCCUUUACACGGUGUACAACAAUGUGGCCUUCGCCAAUCUGAAGCUGUUCCACGCCGGCACUUACCAGGUGUUCAUGCAGACCCGCAUUCUGUUCACAGGCAUCUUCUUUAGUCUUCUGCCGCACCAUGCCCUCACAGUGCGCAAGUGGGUCGCGCUCGUGUUGCUGAUGAUCGGUGUGGCGAGCAAGUAUUACUCUCCCAGUACGCUGCAGCUUGGCAGCCACGUACUCUUUAUUCUGCUUCAGGCGCUCCUGUCGUCCAUGGCAGGUGUGUAUAACGAGUACGCGCUCAAGAAGGAGCGACACCUGUCAAUUCACCAGCAGAACUUCUUCAUGUACUUGUACGCCAUCAUCUUCAACGCCGUCUUCGGCCUCCUCGCUGACCCCUCCAUCAUCACGGGAGUCUUCGCCGCGACGACGACGACGACGACCAGCACUGCGGCCGUUGCCGAACUGAACGGGAAUGCUGCACUGCCGCCGCAGCGCAGCGUCGCGCCGCUCGUAGUGCUGCUCAUCCUAUUCGGCUCUGCCACGGGGAUCUCUGCGGCGUUCAUGCUGAAGUUUGUCAGCGUGAUCGCCAAGGCGUUUGCGUCUGCUCUCGAAGUGCCGCUUACCGCGGCCGUCGCUGCUGCACUACUCGGCGAGCCCUUCACCGGCCAUGACGCAAUCGCCGCCUGCAUCGUGAUGACCUCCAUAUACAUGUACUACACGUGCGGUUGGGGUGAUGACCGCACCAUCUCGUGCCGCUCCGCCACAAGCUGACCAAUGUGUAUGUGUGUGUGUAUAUGUGUUUACUCUUUCUCAGCUGUCCGAGAUCGUUGUAGGUGUCCGCUCUGCAGGUGGCAUCACCCACGCCUCCCCCUUUAUCCAUCACGGCCAACCCACUUCCACCGCAGCCCUUGCUGCCGCGGUGUCCUUAUUUCUCCGCUCAGUCGGCUAAGCCGCUCUCUCUCUGUUCCUCUUGUGUGCACUUCUCUUCUCUCGUGCUUGUUUGCUGCAC
Molecule: unclassified non-coding RNA, 1677 nt
Filed under: Leishmania donovani
Lineage: Eukaryota; Euglenozoa; Kinetoplastea; Trypanosomatida; Trypanosomatidae
Description: gene:LdHU3.15.1150(CDS-product:Nucleotide-sugar_t ransporter_putative)
Source: RNAcentral